This 253-nucleotide ribosomal RNA is filed under the name uncultured bacterium. Its description in RNAcentral is "partial 16S ribosomal RNA". It matches the Rfam family "Bacterial small subunit ribosomal RNA", at positions 524 to 776 of the family's 1533-position model. The record is from RNAcentral.
UACGUAGGUGGCAAGCGUUGUCCGGAAUUAUUGGGCGUAAAGCGCGCGCAGGCGGUUUCUUAAGUCUGAUGUGAAAGCCCACGGCUUAACCGUGGAAGGUCAUUGGAAACUGGGAGACUUGAGUGCAGAAGAGAAGAGCGGAAUUCCACGUGUAGCGGUGAAAUGCGUAGAGAUGUGGAGGAACACCAGUGGCGAAGGCGGCUCUUUGGUCUGUAACUGACGCUGAGGCGCGAAAGCGCGGGGAUCAAACAGG